Molecule: long non-coding RNA, 875 nt
Organism: Ixodes scapularis (black-legged tick)
Lineage: Eukaryota; Metazoa; Arthropoda; Arachnida; Ixodida; Ixodidae
Exons: 2
Source: RefSeq, a predicted model, not a curated record
GCAAAACGGCGGUGCGCCGCUCUGCUCCAUCACGCUGGCAGGUCGAGCUCAGCGGCACGGCAAGAAAGGCUUGUCGCCCUUGCUUUAGAGUUUCUGGAUCGACGCCUGGAGUUAGGUUUUUGUUCCCUGUUCGAAUUUAUGUGCUUCUGAUUUUAAUCGAAUGCUUAUCAAUACAGUUUGGACAGGAAUCACGUGUGUUCGACGAAUUCAGCGGGUGUGGAUUCGCCGAGAAGAGGAGGUCUCAGCUGGCGAUCCACCGGUCAGAAAUCCUGCAGUGCGCGGGGACCCCAUGAAAAUCGACGGUCGACUACGAGGGACUUCGCUGUUCGGGCGAGCGGUGGCGUGUCGUCGAGCUUUGGAGGUGGUGAAGGGCCGUUCGGGAGUCUGAGACUCAAAAGGAUGACUAACGACGACAGCGGAGUCGCCGCCCACUCACGGAGCACAAUCUCGGUCGCCGCCAGCUCCGUCUCGAGCGGACUCGAUGGAGCUGUACAUGGUCGACCCCGGUCACCCGCUCUGUACUAUCCCGCACGGCCGGCGAACUUCACGGCGUGCCUCGGCUUCUGGGCGUCUUCUCCUUUAUCUGCGGGAGAUUCAUGCUGACGUCCGGUUCUUGGCACGCGAUCAGUGGGAGUGCCAUUUGUAUCACCUAUCGCUGUUUGUUUCAAGCGGUGUCGAGUCCGGUUGAGUGGUUCUUAAAGUGUGACUUGUGAUUGUGCUGUGUGACGUCUGGAAUUGGAGUUCGCUGUUACUUCAUUGUAAGUACGCCGCCAAGUUUCGCGCGAAGCGUGAUGAAAACUGAUGCGGUGUGUUGUUCUUGCUGUUUUUUGUCUUUGUUGCAACUGUUGUCACAAAUAAAGUUCUUUUUGCUGUUA